AUCCCUUUGUAGUUCAUAAGUGUGAUGAGUGGUUUUCACGCUCAUGUGUGAGAUGUUCCUCCCUCAAACCUAUGAUGACAUUGUCACAUUACCAGUCUGAUG
RNAcentral lists this small nucleolar RNA (102 nucleotides) under Pongo abelii (Sumatran orangutan). RNAcentral describes it as "Small nucleolar RNA U13 (ENSPPYG00000027647.2)". It matches the Rfam family "Small nucleolar RNA U13". Lineage: Eukaryota; Metazoa; Chordata; Mammalia; Primates; Hominidae. The record is from Rfam by way of RNAcentral.